GUUUUUAAUUGUUUAUAGUAAUUUAAAAGGUACAGAAGUUUGCAAGCAAGUCAUACCCAGCCCCUAACAGCCCUCCACACUUCCAACACAACUCUUUCAGCACAACCACUAAGCUGUGGAAGUGCUGUGGUUCACACAACUCCAGUAACAUUAUUGGAGAGCCAGUACCUUCAACCAGAGCCAAGUCAGACCCAGAGCAUUGCCAGAGCAAUUUCAACAAGGACAUGUGGCCAGCAGUACUGAGCACCCGGUUACCAAGUGUAAGAGGAUGGGAACACCAGGACCUUCUGCCAGCGUGUAGGGAAGUGCUGCAUACAGGCAUCACGUGGUGAUUAAGCACAGUGGUAUGAUCAUAAACAGCAGUGACAAGAUAUGCAGACAAUUGCUCCUUAGAGUAUUCAAGAACCCCUCUGUCCUCUGGGACCUGCGCUGCCCUCAGCCUGGAGGAAAUCCUGCUUUGAUCUCUCCAGGAAGGGAACCAGCUCACAGGCCCUUCCCUUGGACAAAGUAGGAAGAGGCCCAUCUUCUCUAAUCAAGGGCUACUGUCUGGAGAUCCCCCCACCAGACUGUGACCACUCAACCAAACCAGUGGAAACCAAAUGUUCAUUUCAAAACCAGGACCAAUGAGCUGAUCCAACAAUCAAGUGUCACGUGGCUUCUUCAAAGGAUGGGCAUUGUGUAUCAAACAGAGUAAAGCUGCCAUAAGCUUGUGGAGGAUGGGGAGCAGUUAAAAAUCAACAGGAGUGGUGGCAUCCACUGCUUGUGCUACUUGUCAAAUGCACCAAGAACGGCUGUCAACUGGCUCCCAUGAGGGCACUGGAGCACCUGUCCACUGGGGGACUGGCUACAUCAAUGUCUCAGUUUCUUUUUCUUCUUACAGUUCCGGUCUUCACUGCUGUCAUCUGCCUCACUGGCACUGGGGGUCACGGCCUGCUGGAUGACUUUUUUUUCCACUGCAUAUUCCUGCUCUUCUGUCUUGGGGUCUCCCUUGACCAAGAACUCUCCUUUCCGAUAGGAUAUGGAGACAUUGGUCCGUGGCUUGCAGGGGCAGUAACCUGCCAAGAACAAGCAGAGCCACAUUGCCAAUGACUGCCUGUUAGCUGCUCAGCAAGACUCGCCAUUUAACCCACUCAUCUCAGAGUUACAGGGAUGUGACCAAGCUGACAAAAACCACUGAGGGCAAAAGAAACCACCUCAUGUCCUCAUGACUUAUCUCCGCACUGCUGGGAGGCAGCAGUACAGACUGCAAGAAGCUGGAGGCCCUUGAGCAAGCAUGAAAAUGGGGAAGGCAAGCACAAGUGAAAAAACAAAAACAAAGCAAGCAGGCAAAGAAAGGAAAGAGACAACAGCCCAGCCCUGC
Molecule: long non-coding RNA, 1360 nt
Filed under: Manacus vitellinus (golden-collared manakin)
Lineage: Eukaryota; Metazoa; Chordata; Aves; Passeriformes; Pipridae
Description: lncRNA (ENSMVIG00005018634.1)
Source: RNAcentral